Molecule: ribosomal RNA, 392 nt
Filed under: uncultured bacterium
Lineage: Bacteria
Description: partial 16S ribosomal RNA
Rfam family: Bacterial small subunit ribosomal RNA
Source: RNAcentral
AUACGGAGGAUCCGAGCGUUAUCCGGAUUUAUUGGGUUUAAAGGGUGCGCAGGCGGCCAUUUAAGUCAGCGGUUAAAUCGUGGGGCUCAACCCCAUUCUGCCGUUGAUACUGGGUGGCUUGAUUGCGGUCGAGGUUGGCGGAAUUCGUUGUGUAGCGGUGAAAUGCAUAGAUAUGACGAAGAACACCGAUUGCGUAGGCAGCUGACCAGACCGCAAAUGACGCUCAUGCACGAAAGUGCGGGGAUCGAACAGGAUUAGAUACCCUGGUAGUCCGCACAGUAAACGAUGAAUACUUGUUUUCGGCGAUAUAAUGUCGGACGCAAAGCGAAAGCGAUAAGUAUUCCACCUGGGGAGUACGCCGGCAACGGUGAAACUCAAAUGAAUUGACGGGG